UCGGCGCAUUAACAUAUCCGUUGCCCAGCGGGCGGACAUUAAGAAUUGUAGCAGCGGCGGCGGUGCUAUACGAAAGUGCUAUUCUAUAUAUACACCACUGCGUAUACGUACUGUAAAUUCAAACGAGUUUAAGUAAUUAAAACGAAUAUUGGUGAAAUCUGCUUUAAAGUGCAACCGAUUGCAGUAUCGGUUUUAAAUUGAA
Long non-coding RNA from Drosophila santomea, 202 nucleotides. RefSeq lists it as uncharacterized. The transcript has 2 exons. Lineage: Eukaryota; Metazoa; Arthropoda; Insecta; Diptera; Drosophilidae. The record is from RefSeq and is a predicted model, not a curated record.